Molecule: ribosomal RNA, 404 nt
Filed under: uncultured bacterium
Lineage: Bacteria
Description: bacterial SSU rRNA
Rfam family: Bacterial small subunit ribosomal RNA
Source: RNAcentral
UGAGGAAUUUUGCUCAAUGGGCGCAAGCCUGAAGCAGCGACGCCGCGUGAAUGAUGAAGUCUUUCGGGAUGUAAAGUUCUUUUGGCAGGGAAAAUAAUGAUUGUACCUGCAGAAUAAGCACCGGCAAACUAUGUGCCAGCAGCCGCGGUAAUACAUAGGGUGCAAGCGUUGUCCGGAUUUACUGGGCGUAAAGAGCGUGUAGGUGGUGAAAUAAGUUAAACUUGAAAGACUCUUGGCUCAACCAGAGUUUGGGUUUAAAACUGUUUCGCUAGAGAUUGGGAGAGGAAAGUAGAACUAACAGUGUAGCGGUGAAAUGCGUAGAUAUUGUUAGGAAUACCCGUGGCGAAGGCGGCUUUCUGGACCAAUUCUGACACUGAGACGCGAAAGCGUGGGGAUCAAACAGG